GUAGGGAAUAUUGCACAAUGGGCGAAAGCCUGAUCCAGCCAUGCCGCGUGUGUGAAGAAGGUCUUCGGAUUGUAAAGCACUUUAAGUUGGGAGGAAGGGCAGUAAGUUAAUACCUUGCUGUUUUGACGUUACCGACAGAAUAAGCACCGGCUAACUUCGUGCCAGCAGCCGCGGUAAUACGAAGGGUGCAAGCGUUAAUCGGAAUUACUGGGCGUAAAGCGCGCGUAGGUGGUUUUGUAAGUUGGAGGUGAAAUCCCCGGGCUCAACCUGGGAACUGCCUCCAAAACUGCAUGACUAGAGUACGGUAGAGGGUAGUGGAAUUUCCUGUGUAGCGGUGAAAUGCGUAGAUAUAGGAAGGAACACCAGUGGCGAAGGCGACUACCUGGACUGAUACUGACACUGAGGUGCGAAAGCGUGGGGAGCAAACAGGAUUAGAUACCCGGGUAGUCC
Molecule: ribosomal RNA, 450 nt
Filed under: uncultured bacterium
Lineage: Bacteria
Description: partial 16S ribosomal RNA
Rfam family: Bacterial small subunit ribosomal RNA
Source: RNAcentral